Molecule: unclassified non-coding RNA, 215 nt
Filed under: soil metagenome
Description: partial contains 5.8S ribosomal RNA, internal transcribed spacer 2, and large subunit ribosomal RNA
Source: RNAcentral
AACAAGGCGUACCUGCGGACCUGCGGAAGGAUCAUUACCAAGGUUGAAUAUAAUACUAUUCACCCCAUUGUGUGCACUCAUUUGAACUGUUUGGAAAAGAAAAAAAAUUUUUUUUUUUCCAAAUGGUUCCAACCAAUUUUCUUCCAUCGCUUUACUGUCUUUGUCUGACCGAUACUUUCAUAUAACUUUCAAAUACAACUUUUAACAACGGAUCU